Molecule: long non-coding RNA, 4168 nt
Filed under: Olea europaea (common olive)
Lineage: Eukaryota; Viridiplantae; Streptophyta; Magnoliopsida; Lamiales; Oleaceae
Description: long non-coding RNA (OEUR_LNC009159)
Source: RNAcentral
UUACGUUGACAUACAACAAUUCCCUUUGACGACCUUGCAACUUCAAGUCCUAGAAAAUAUUUCAAAACUCCUAAAUCCUUUAAUCUUCCAAUUAAUCUUCUAUACAUUCCUAGAUCAUCAAUCAACUCACCUUGAUCUUUAGUUAGCUUUAGAUUUUGCAACAUAGGGCAUUUUGCAGGCUUUGCUCCUAAAUAAAAUGUGUCCUCAAGAAUUUCUAAUUCAUAUUUACGUUGACAUACAGCAAUUCCCUUUGAUGACCUUGCAACUUCAAGUCCUAGAAAAUAUUUCAAAACUCCUAAAUCAUUUAAUUUAAAUUGCUCAUCAAGACUUCUUUUGAACUGCUCAAUAUAGGUCAAGUCAUUUCCACUUAUGAUAAUAUCAUCAACAUACACCAGCAGUACGGUAUAUGAGUAGCCAAUCCUUUUGCUAAAAAGGGAAUAAUCUAAUUUUGAUUGACCAAUCCCUUGAGAAACAAUAAAUGAUGAUAGUUUGGUAUUCCAUUGCCUAGAGGUCUGUUUAAGUCCAUAAAUGGACUUGUUGAGUUUGCACACCAAUGUGACUCCAUUCUCCCCCUGCUGCUCAUAUCUCGGAGGCAUUUUCAUAAACACUUCUUCAUCUAGGUCCCCAUGAAGAAAGGCAUUGUUGAUGUGUAACAGGUGAAGGUGCCAAUUUUUGCAUGCCGCAACUGCCAACAGAGCCUUGAUUGAGGAUAACUUUGCAACAGGAGAAAAUGUCUCUUGAUAAUCUAGACCAGCCUGCUGGGUGAAUCCCCUUGCCACCAACCUUGCUUUCUUCCUUCUUCACUUCCAUCUUGCUUUAGUUUGAUCUUAUAGACCCACUUGCAGUCUACAUGUUUCUUGUUUGUUGGGAGGGAAGUGAUGGUCCAGGUGUUAUUGUUAACUAGAGCCCAGUAUUCAUCAUCCAUAGCUUGGCACCAUGUUGGAGAUUGUGAUGCUUCAAAAAUAUUUCUGGGCUCAACAUUAGUAGACAGUGAUAACACAUAAACCCUGUGAGCUGGUGAAAGUGAAUCAUAACCCAAGGUGUUGGAUAAUGCAUGUGAUAUUCCAGUAUUAUGAGAGGAAAGUGAAGAAGCAGAUUCUUGCUGAGAGAUUAGGUUGCAAUGAAAUUAUUGGAAAUAGUUGGGAGGUUUUCUGUUGCUGGUAGAUCUGCGGAGAGGAAUAUUAGGUGAAGGCUGUGAAGAUGGUGAAGUGAUGACCGGUGACACAGAGGGUGGAGAUAAUGAUACAUUGUUAUGUGAUGGAUUUGGAGAUGAAGAUAAAUGUGAAGGCAAAGAAGUGUUAUUGUGUGAUGAUGAAGAAUGUGUGGGGGAUAAGAGUUCUGAUAUAGGAUGAGAGAAAAGCGAAAAUAGAGGAAAUAUAGCCAAGUGAUGUUAACAAUGUGAGAUCUUGAAAGGGAAAUAUAUUUUCAUGAAAGAUGACAUCCCUAGAUACAAAAGUAGCUUGUGUGCACAGAUUAUAUACCUUGUACCCCUUUUGUGGUGGGAGGAUAACCAAUGAAAAUACAUGGGACCGCUCUAGGAUCAAACUUGAAUCUAUGUCUUUAAAUGGUGGAAGCAUAGCAUAAGGAGCCAAAGACUCUUUAGUGUGAAUAUGAAUGCUUUGCUGAGAAGAGGAUUUCAUAGGGUGAUUUGUUUGAUAGAGAAGCACUGGGUAUGUGAUUUAUCAGAUAUGUGGCUAUUAAAAUACAUUCUCCCCAAAUUUUAUCUGGAAUUUUAAGGCUCUAGCGACAUUUAACAAAUGUUGAUGUUUUCGCUCAACUAUGCCAUUUUGUUGAGGUCUUUCAACAUAUAGUCCCUUUGGGAAGGAAAAAAAUCACUCAUGGCAAAUUCAGCACCAUUGUCAGACCUUAGGACCUUAAUUUUGGUACUGAACUGAGUUUCAAUCAUGUUGAAAAAGGUUUGAAUGAGUUGUCUGGUCUGUGAUUUAGUUUUCAUCAGAAAUGUCCAAGUGGAUCUACUAUAAUGAUCCAUUAUAGUCAAAAAAAUAUUGUGAACCAUCAAGGGAAUGAGAUUGAUAAGGACCCCAGACAUCACAACGAACAAGUUCAAAACAAGAUUGAGAUAUAUGCAUACUGUGAGGAAAAGGCAACCUAUGUUGCUUUGCCAUAGGACAAAUACUAGAAUGAAAUUCAUAAUUCCAUACAAUUUUAGGUACAAGUUUUUGCAACAUGGAGAUUCUAGAAUGGGGAAUAUGUCCUAACCUAGAGUGCCAUAGUUCAAAAGGCACUUUUGUGACAGCAUUGAGACUAGAAACAUAGUCAUGAUUUAUGACUUUAUUACAGCCAACAUCUACAAGUACAGAAGAGAAUGUAUUGAAUUGAUGUGGUGCAGAUUUGAUGGGGCAUGCAGGGAGUGAUGGACCAUUGUUUGAAGGAGUACUAAGCUAGUAGUGAUACAAUCCAGCUUCAAGUUUCCCCACUCCAAUCGUUGUCCAUGUAGAAAGGUCCUGAAUAAGACAAUGAUCAGACAAGAAUAUUAAGUAACAUUGGUGUGAAAGGAUGAGUUUGCUGGCAGAGAUUAGAUUACAUUUAAAAGAGGGAAUGCAUAACACAUUGGUUAGUAAUAGCCUUUCAGACAGCUUUACAGUUCCUAUGUGAGUCACAUGAGCCUCAUCUCCAUUUGGAAGUUUGACACUUGCACUUACUCUAGCAGUGAUAGUGGAUAGAUGAUCAAUACAACACACCAUGUGGUCUGUUGCCCCAGUAUCAAUUAUACACUUAUGCCUUAUAAUUGAGACUGCUAGACAGAAGUUAUUACCUCAGAAUGUGAAACAUCUGGCAAUGCAAGGUUUGUUUGACUUUGGUUUUCAGUAUUACCAGAUUGAGUAAUCAAAUUUGAGAGCUGAACGUGAAUCUGCGGUUUCAACAUAUUGAGAACUUGCUAGCAUUGUUCUGGAGUAAAUGUCAGGUUUGAGAAUGCACCUGACAGAUCAGAGGAGGUAGCAGUUCCCAUCACCUGAUUAGCACUGGAAAUAUAUCAUUUUCCUUUCUCCUUUGCCAACCUAUGUCCUGGAGGAUAUCCAUGGAGUUUGUAGCACUUUCCCUGUAUAUGUCCAAGCAUCCCACAGUAACUACACUUAGGUCUAUCCUUCCUGUAAUUUUGAUUCAUAUUCGUUGUUCUUCGGUUACCUCCGGAGCUCAUAGGAUUACGCAUCAAUCUACUAAUGAAUGCACUGGUUUCCACAUUAAUCUAACUCCUUGAUGCCACAUCUCUCAGUUUUUCAUCCUACUGAACUAAGGUAAACACUUCGUUUAGUGGAGGCAAAGGCUCCAUUAGUAAAAUCUGACUUCUCACAUUGGAAUAACACUCAUCCAGUCCCAUUAAAAAUUGCAGUAUUUGUUCUUCUUCAUGAUAAGAAUUAUGAGUUUGUGGCCUAUAGUUCGACAACUCUUCUCAUAAGCCUUUCAGCCUAUUAAAAUAGGCACUUACAGAUCCAUACCCUUGUGAAAUUGAAGCAAUUAGCUUCUUCAAUUGGUAAAUUCUAGGUCCAUUGCCCUGACUAUACCUAUCUUUCAAUUUGAGCCAGAUCUCACGUGCUGAGUCCUUAUGCAUAACAUUAGGAUAUAGUUCCUUAGGAAUUGAACUAAUAAUCCAUGAUGAAACAAUAUGAUUGCAUCUACGCCAGGCAGCAUACAAAGGUAAAUUCAUGGAGGGUUUCACUAUCGAACCAUCAAUAAAACCUUCCUUAUUUUUCACACUCAAUGCCAUUUCCAUAGCACGACUUUAGGUUGAAUAAUUCUCAUUAGAGAGAACAACUGAAACAAUCUGCAUACCUGUGUUAUCUACAUAGUGCACGUAGUAAGGGCUCGAGAGAUCCAAUAUCAGUUGAUGAGUUGCAAGCAACAGAUCUUCACCGUGAUCAACUUUCGGUGUAGGAGUAUCAGUCGAUUCUUCAAUUUCAGCUUCUGGAUUUGUCACCAUGAAUGAAGGUCUUGAUCAAUGCUCUGAUACCAUGUAAAGUUUACACCCUAAUUGGAGAAAACCUGAUUACAGAGUAGAGAGAGAAACUGGAGUAUUUCAUAUAUGCCAAAAGGAAGCAGUACAAACGUAUAUAUACAUGCACUUAUUCUGUACAAUAGUAACCAGCUGUAGAAUUGACAGCUCAGCCUAACUAACUAGCUGAAUUAGCAAAUUACAUAAAUAACCUUG